RNAcentral lists this ribosomal RNA (749 nucleotides) under Discolaimus sp. 2 HMM2018. RNAcentral describes it as "eukaryotic LSU rRNA". It matches the Rfam family "Eukaryotic large subunit ribosomal RNA", at positions 374 to 935 of the family's 3401-position model. Lineage: Eukaryota; Metazoa; Nematoda; Enoplea; Dorylaimida; Qudsianematidae. The record is from RNAcentral.
CGUCUGAUAGAGAGUCAGGGCGUGAACCGCUUAGAAGAAAACGGACGGAGCCGUCUAAGUCCUUUGGGACUCAGUCGUACGAUUUCGCGAGGGUGCCUUACGUUCGGAAUGGAGAGUCCGACUAGGGUGCUAGUAGUAGCAAUCGUUCGGCGCAUUUCCCGAAGGUGAGCACUGUGACCGAUACGCUGGCCAGUGGAGCGAUUCGAUCGAGGUGGAGUCCCGCAAGGCAUUCCAAACCAGUCUUAUCGCCCGACUCGCUGGACCGCAGUACCGGGUGCCUUAUUCGUACCGGCGAAAACGCUCGUUGAGUGGUGGAUCGUUCGUCGAUCGAUUGGUUCUUGCUCGCAGGAGCUAGUCGAUUUGGUGGACGUUUGAAACUACCAGCGACAUUCGGUAUUUAGGCGUCGACAGUGUCAGUGUCGGCCACCCAUCCGACCCGUCUUGAAACACGGACCAAGGAGUCUAACAUAUGCGCGAGCUAAUGGGUGGAAAACCCAUAAGCGCAAUAAACGUAAAGCCUGUUUCAGACAGGUAAGAUACGAUCCUAGAGUAUUCACAUGCUUUAGGCGCAGUAUCGUCCCAUCUAAACCGCAUAUCGGUUGGGUGGAGAUAGAGUGCAUACGUUGGGACCCGAAAGAUGGUGAACUAUGCCUGAGCAGAGCGAAGCCAGAGGAAACUCUGGUGGAGGUUCGUAGCGGUUCUGACGUGCAAAUCGAUCGUCAGACUGGGUAUAGAGCGGCGUCCGUAUU